AUCCUACUGUCCUACACCUCCGUUCCCCUGUCUCCCUUCUUGUUUUCUAUCACGAUAAACUACUAGAACUGCUGGGGCUGGGAUUGGCAGUCUGUUUUCCACCCAGGCUAGAACUCCUGCAUCCCUCAACCAUAUUCACAUCACAGACGGAUCUUCUCAAACCGAAAGGUAGGAUUGAGAAGAAAAGUCCUUAUUUGCAGGAGCUACAAGAUUGAAGGCAAGGUAUAAAUGAUGCUUCGUUGCUUAAAGUCUACUACUAUAUACUUUUUCCUAUAGAACCCAGUUUUCUGUAAUGCACGGCCUACUUUUUAGCCACUUUAAACAUGCAUGGGUUAAUCUCUUCAACGAGCAUGGUUAAGCUAACCCCCCUAAUUCUUAUUCAUGUGCUCAGAGCCUUAACUGUCUAAUAACACAUCUCUGUUGAGCUUUUGCUCUCUAUAUACAUUUCGAUACGAGGUAUUGUUACAGGAUAAAAGUAAUUCUUCUUUAAGCCUUCAUAUUCAGUUUUGGCCUAUUACCUGUGUAGAACCAACUAAUAUUUAGUUGCUACAAAUGAUUUUAUUUUGUACUCUAAUAUCUUUCCUGUAAUAGGCUCCAGAAAGCUUUUGACCUACUGAAUUUGUAAGUGCGGAUAUUAUACGAUUUUCUUCACAUUAUUACUGCAAUUGGAUUUUAUUUUCGCAAUGGGUAAUAUAUCUACUUCCCUGAUAUAAGGAACAUAACUACUUCUGUGGUUAGUCUAUUUAUUCUAGAUGUGAUGGUAGGAUGCUGACAUUGGAGGAACAAGCAAGCGAAUCGGGAACAAAGAGCCUUGUUGGUCAGACAAGUAAGAUGGAAGCCAGUUAGAUGAACCAUGUUAGAUGAACCUUGUUGUGUAUUUUAUCUAAUGGUGUCAAACCAUGUUGUUCAUGAUGUGGCGAUGAACACUGUUGGUCAUGGACGUUAAUUAGAUGCAUGGAUUGUGAAUCCUUGAAUGUUUCAAAAUGUUGGUUUCAAACUUAGAUUGCUUGGAAAUAUUGGUUUUAAACA
Molecule: long non-coding RNA, 1029 nt
Organism: Lolium perenne
Lineage: Eukaryota; Viridiplantae; Streptophyta; Magnoliopsida; Poales; Poaceae
Source: RefSeq, a predicted model, not a curated record